RNAcentral lists this unclassified non-coding RNA (329 nucleotides) under soil metagenome. RNAcentral's name for it is "partial contains 5.8S ribosomal RNA, internal transcribed spacer 2, and large subunit ribosomal RNA". The stretch from base 1 to 120 matches the Rfam family "5.8S ribosomal RNA", at positions 35 to 154 of the family's 154-position model. The record is from RNAcentral.
GAUGAAGAACGUAGCGAAAUGCGAUACGUAAUGUGAAUUGCAGAAUUCAGUGAAUCAUCGAAUCUUUGAACGCACAUUGCGCCCCUUGGUAUUCCGAGGGGCAUGCCUGUUCGAGCGUCAUUAUAACCCCUCAAGCUCAGCUUGGUGUUGGGGCCUGCUGCACUGGCAGCCCUUAAAAUCAGUGGCGGCGCCAUCUGGCUCUAAGCGUAGUAAUUCUUCUCGCUAUGGAGUCCUGGUGGAUGCUUACCAUCAACCCCCAAUUUUUCUAUGGUUGACCUCGGAUCAGGUAGGGAUACCCGCUGAACUUAAGCAUAUCAAUAAGCGGAGGA